UAGGGAAUCUUCCGCAAUGGACGCAAGUCUGACGGAGCAACGCCGCGUGAGUGAAGAAGGAUUUCGGUUCGUAAAACUCUGUUGUUAGAGAAGAACAGCGCAUAGAGUAACUGUUAUGCGUGUGACGGUAUCUAACCAGAAAGCCACGGCUAACUACGUGCCAGCAGCCGCGGUAAUACGUAGGUGGCAAGCGUUGUCCGGAUUUAUUGGGCGUAAAGCGAGCGUAGGCGGUCAAUUAAGUCUGAUGUGAAAGCCCCCGGCUCAACCGGGGAGGGUCAUUGGAAACUGGUUGACUUGAGUGCAGAAGAGGAGAGUGGAAUUCCAUGUGUAGCGGUGAAAUGCGUAGAUAUAUGGAGGAACACCAGUGGCGAAGGCGACUCUCUGGUCUGUAACUGACGCUGAGGCUCGAAAGCGUGGGUAGCAAACAGG
RNAcentral lists this ribosomal RNA (429 nucleotides) under Bacteroidota bacterium. RNAcentral's name for it is "Bacteroidetes bacterium partial 16S ribosomal RNA". It matches the Rfam family "Bacterial small subunit ribosomal RNA", at positions 355 to 776 of the family's 1533-position model. The record is from RNAcentral. Lineage: Bacteria; Pseudomonadati; Bacteroidota.